CCCGCACAAGCAGCGGAGCGUGUGGUUUAAUUCGAGGCAACACGAAGAACCUUACCUGGGCUUGACAUGUUCGUGGUAGUGAAGCGAAAGCGGAUCGACCCUUCGGGGAGCGUUCACAGGUGCUGCAUGGCUGUCGUCAGCUCGUGCCGUGAGGUGUCCGGUUAAGUCCGGUAACGAGCGCAACCCUUGCUGUUAGUUACAAGUGUCUAACGGGACUGCCGGUUUAAUACCGGAGGAAGGUGGGAUGACGUCAAGUCAGCAUGGCCUCUAUGUCCAGGGCUACACACACGCUACAAUGGCCGGUACAGUGGGUUGCCAAACCGCGAGGUGGAGCUAAUCCUCAAAGCCGGUCUCAGUUCGGAUUGUAGGCUGCAACUCGCCUGCAUGAAGUCGGAGUUGCUAGUAACCGCGCGUCAGCUAUAGCGCGGUGAAUACGUUCCCGGGCCUU
RNAcentral lists this ribosomal RNA (448 nucleotides) under uncultured Anaerolineaceae bacterium. RNAcentral describes it as "bacterial SSU rRNA". It matches the Rfam family "Bacterial small subunit ribosomal RNA", at positions 920 to 1382 of the family's 1533-position model. The record is from RNAcentral. Lineage: Bacteria; Bacillati; Chloroflexota; Anaerolineae; Anaerolineales; Anaerolineaceae.